AUGCCUCUCAAAUUUUGGGAUGAGGCUUUUCUCACCGCUGUUCAUCUUAUUAACAUGUGGCCCAGUCGCACUAUUUCUCAUGAAACUCCCACUGAACGUCUUCUUCAUAUCACACCAGAUUACACCGCCCUUCGUGUUUUUGGUUGCGCAUGUUGGCCAAAUCUUCGUCCAUACAAUACUCGAAAACUCAUGUAUCGUUCCAAACAAUGCGUUUUUCUUGGCUAUAGUAUGCAACACAAAGGUGUCGAGUGCCUUGAUGUUUCUACAGGUCGUGUGUACAUCCCACGUGACGUCGUUUUUGAUGAGACUCAGUUUCCCUUUGCAUGUCUACACCCCAAUGCCGGCGCCCUCCUUAGGAAAGAAAUCCUUCUUCUCUCAUCUCACCUUUCCGGCGUUUCGUGUGCGGGUGAUGAUAGUUGCGCUGACCAAAAUAUGACUAAUGUAUCUCCUGUUAUCCCUGAGUUUACUGUUCUAGGCAGAAUCGGCGAAGAAAAUGACGCAGAAAAUGGUGCAUCAGGGAGCCCCAGCGUGCAUGCAGGCGAUCCGGUGGAAUCAGCCUCGGGAUCGACCCGGCUGGACGCGUCCGAUCCGACCACAUCCCCCUCGGGAUUGCCAUCGAGUCAGCCGGCUCGGGGCCCUCCACCAUCUCCCGCCCCGCGCCUCUCUUCAGGAGAUGCUUGUCGCCCUGCCUCCGCACUGGACUCCGCGGGCGCCGCGCUCCAAUCAGCAAUGGGGAGCCAGCCAACCGCGCGGUACGCGCCGGUCCCGCAGAUGUACUCCAGGCGCCUCCCGCGGGCCACCCUGUCCUCUGCACCAGGCGCGCCAGACGGGCCCGCUGCUGGAUCCGAUGAUGAUCCUGUCCCUCCGCCCGGAUCUUCUGCGGCCUCGCCCGUCUCUCCGUCGGCCGUUCUGCCACAGCAGAUUCGGCGGGGUCUGGUGCUGCUGAUGCUGCUGGAUCCUCUGCGGCUACACCACCGCUCGUCUCCACGCCUCCUCGUACACGUCUUCGUGACGGCACCAUACAACAGGUCAACUACAAAACUAAGUAUGGCCUAG
RNAcentral lists this ribosomal RNA (1056 nucleotides) under Triticum aestivum (bread wheat). Its description in RNAcentral is "partial small subunit ribosomal RNA". The record is from RNAcentral. Lineage: Eukaryota; Viridiplantae; Streptophyta; Magnoliopsida; Poales; Poaceae.